CCUGUGUCUGAGUUAGCAGCCAUCCCCGUCACCUGCUACCCCAAAACCAGGGCCACAGGGUUCCCUUGUGCUGGAACGCCUGGGUGCCAGCCCCAACAGCCCCUUGCCCCAAGUGUCUGUCAGCACCAUGACGCCCCUGGGUUGUGUCCCAGGUGGUGCCUCUGGGGACCCCACCAGGAAGUGACACUUUCCAUUUUGCAUCACACCCGUCUGACAAAGUGUCUGGGAGAGGGUUGCCAGUGUCCCUGUGGGGUGCAGAGCAAGAAAUCAAAGAAGGGAUGGAAGAGAGGGUCACAUACGCUGAUCUGCGCUUUCCCCCAACACCAGGUCCUCAGCAGCCGGUGCGCCUGCCCUGGUGCUGGGCAGCCCUCAGCCUGGGUCUCCUCUCCCUGGUGCUUCUGCUGGCACAAAUCAUCCUUGUCAGCUUGAGCUUCCACUAUUUAGUACAACAACAGAUGAGCUGCACCCAUGAUCUCUGGAGCAUGGAGAAGAGCCCCAGCUAUGGGCAACAGACACUGCGAGGUAAGAGAGCCUGGUGAGCUCCUGGACAAAGUUUGGAGAGGGCCUAGCUGCUCCUUUCAAGCAGCAGGAUCUGUCCGUGCUCC
Molecule: long non-coding RNA, 605 nt
Organism: Manacus vitellinus (golden-collared manakin)
Lineage: Eukaryota; Metazoa; Chordata; Aves; Passeriformes; Pipridae
Source: Ensembl